RNAcentral lists this ribosomal RNA (433 nucleotides) under uncultured bacterium. Its description in RNAcentral is "partial 16S ribosomal RNA". It matches the Rfam family "Bacterial small subunit ribosomal RNA", at positions 29 to 507 of the family's 1533-position model. The record is from RNAcentral.
AACGAACGCUGGCGGCAUGCCUAACACAUGCAAGUCGAACGAGACCUCCGGGUCUUGUUGCGCACGGGUGCGUAACGCGUGGGAACCUGCCCUUAGGUUCGGAAUACCUCCCCGACAGGGGUGCUAAUACCGGAUAAUGUCUUCGGACCAAAGAUUUAUCGCCUUUGGAUGGGCCCGCGUUGGAUUAGCUUGUUGGUAGGGUAAAAGCCUACCAAGGCGACGAUCCAUAGCUGGUCUGAGAGGAUGAGCAGCCACACUGGGACUGAGACACGGCCCAGACUCCUACGGGAGGGAGCAGAGGGGAAUAGUGGAAAAUGGGCGAAAGCCUGAUCCAGCAAUGCCGGGUGAGUGAUGAAGGCCGUAGGGAAGUAAAGCUCUUUUACCCGGGAUGAUAAUGACAGUACCGGGAGAAUAAGCUCCGGCUAACUACGUG